CCCUCGAAGCGGGGGUGCCCAAGCAAUUGCGUGGGCUGAGAGAGUCCCUUCGAACCUGAUCCGGUCCGUACCGGCGUAGGAAGCUUCGUCCACGGGUAA
Molecule: non-coding RNA, 99 nt
Organism: Luteibacter rhizovicinus DSM 16549
Lineage: Bacteria; Pseudomonadati; Pseudomonadota; Gammaproteobacteria; Lysobacterales; Rhodanobacteraceae
Source: Rfam